MicroRNA precursor from Cavia porcellus (domestic guinea pig), 92 nucleotides. Ensembl annotates it as microRNA let-7a-3. Its record names the gene MIRLET7A3. NCBI's taxonomy places the organism in Eukaryota, Metazoa, Chordata, Mammalia, Rodentia, Caviidae. The record is from Ensembl.
CGUCCUUUGGGGUGAGGUAGUAGGUUGUAUAGUUUGGGGCUCCGCCCUGCUGUGGCUAACUAUACAAUCUACUGUCUUUCCUGAAGUGGCCG